ACCUGCCCGAGUUCUCUCGAGAUCUUUGGUUUCCUCCCACACUCCAAAGACGUACAGAGUUUCUCCAAGUGGUGAGAAGUUUGAAUUGCUGCCAUCUUUUCAUGCCGAUCUUCCCACAGAAAAAUUGAAAUACAUCUUGUACGGAUAUAUCGAGGAUAAACUUACCAGCAGUCCCCAUUUCGAUCGGUUGCUGUUGCAAGCACGUAUUUUUACUAUACUGAUUCUCUGGCAACGUGAUAGUCUUCCAUCCUCAUUAACAAUUCUGAACUCCAUUCAAAAGCUUGUAGCAUCGU
Molecule: long non-coding RNA, 293 nt
Organism: Amblyraja radiata (thorny skate)
Lineage: Eukaryota; Metazoa; Chordata; Chondrichthyes; Rajiformes; Rajidae
Exons: 3
Source: RefSeq, a predicted model, not a curated record